UCUGGGAUUAGAUACCCUGUUAUUUAAAAUGUAAUCAUAAAUACUUGAGUAGUAAUAGUUAUGGUCUUUAAACUUAAAAAAUUUGGCGGUAUUUUAGUCUAUUCAGAGGAACUUGUUUUGUAAUCGAUAAUCCGCGAUGUACCUCACUUAAAUUUGUUUAUCAAUUUAUAUACCGUCGUUAUAGAAUAUUUUAUAAGAAAAAUAAUUUUCAAUAAUUAAUAUAAUAAUAUAUAUCAGAUCAAGGUGUAGUUUAUAUUUAAGUAAUAAUGAGUUACAAUAAAUUUAUUUUUGGAUAUAGAUAUGAAAAAUCUAUUGAAAUUGGAUUUGAUAGUAAAAUUAAAUAGAUCAUUAAUUUGAUUUUAGCUCUAAAAUAUGUACAAAUCGCCCGUCCACUCUCUGAG
RNAcentral lists this ribosomal RNA (401 nucleotides) under Platypeza consobrina (flat-footed fly). Its description in RNAcentral is "partial 12S ribosomal RNA". The record is from RNAcentral. Lineage: Eukaryota; Metazoa; Arthropoda; Insecta; Diptera; Platypezidae.